GGGCGAUUAGCUCAGAUGGUUAGAGCGCUACACUGAUAAUGUAGAGGUCCCAAGUUCGAUUCUUGGAUCGCCCACUA
This 77-nucleotide transfer RNA is filed under the name Candidatus Magasanikbacteria bacterium CG10_big_fil_rev_8_21_14_0_10_47_10. RNAcentral describes it as "tRNA-Ile". It matches the Rfam family "tRNA". From Rfam's summary of the family: Transfer RNA (tRNA) molecules are approximately 80 nucleotides in length. Their secondary structure includes four short double-helical elements and three loops (D, anti-codon, and T loops). Further hydrogen bonds mediate the characteristic L-shaped molecular structure. tRNAs have two regions of fundamental functional importance: the anti-codon, which is responsible for specific mRNA codon recognition, and the 3' end, to which the tRNAs corresponding amino acid is attached (by aminoacyl-tRNA synthetases). tRNAs cope with the degeneracy of the genetic code in two manners: having more than one tRNA (with a specific anti-codon) for a particular amino acid; and 'wobble' base-pairing, i.e. permitting non-standard base-pairing at the 3rd anti-codon position. The record is from RNAcentral. Lineage: Bacteria; Candidatus Magasanikiibacteriota.